RNAcentral lists this ribosomal RNA (478 nucleotides) under uncultured bacterium. RNAcentral describes it as "partial 16S ribosomal RNA". It matches the Rfam family "Bacterial small subunit ribosomal RNA", at positions 28 to 523 of the family's 1533-position model. The record is from RNAcentral.
GACGAACGCUGGCGGCGUGCUUAACACAUGCAAGUCGAACGGUAAGGCCCUUCGGGGUACACGAGUGGCGAACGGGUGAGUAACACGUGGGUGAUCUGCCCUGCACUUCGGGAUAAGCCUGGGAAACUGGGUCUAAUACCGGAUAGGACCACUGCCUGCAUGGGUGGUGGUGGAGAGCUUUUGCGGUGUGGGAUGGGCCCGCGGCCUAUCAGCUUGUUGGUGGGGUGAUGGCCUACCAAGGCGACGACGGGUAGCCGGCCUGAGAGGGUGACCGGCCACACUGGGACUGAAAUACGGCCCAGACUCCUACGGGAGGCAGCAGUGGGGAAUAUUGCACAAUGGGCGCAAGCCUGAUGCGGCGACGCCGCGUGAGGGAUGACGGCCUUCGGGUUGUAAACCUCUUUCAGCACCGACGAAGCGCAAGUGACGGUAGGUGCAGAAGAAGGACCGGCCAACUACGUGCCAGCAGCCGCAGUAA